RNAcentral lists this unclassified non-coding RNA (352 nucleotides) under soil metagenome. RNAcentral describes it as "partial contains 5.8S ribosomal RNA, internal transcribed spacer 2, and large subunit ribosomal RNA". The stretch from base 1 to 120 matches the Rfam family "5.8S ribosomal RNA", at positions 35 to 154 of the family's 154-position model. The record is from RNAcentral.
GAUGAAGAACGCAGCGAAAUGCGAAAAGUAAUGUGAAUUGCAGAAUUCAGUGAAUCAUCGAAUCUUUGAACGCACAUUGCGCCCGCUGGUACUCCGGCGGGCACGCCUGUCCGAGCGUCAUUUCAACCCUCAAGCCCUCCUUCGGGAUGGGCCUGGUGUUGGGGCUCGGCCGCCAUCUCCGGCGGCCGUCCCCUAAAUACAGUGGCGGUCACGUCGCGACUCCUUUGCGUAGUAGAAACACCUCGCUCCGGAUAGCAACGCGGUCCACGCCGUAAAACCCCCAAUUUUCAAUGGUUGACCUCGGAUCAGGUGGGAAUACCCGCUGAACUUAAGCAUAUCAAUAAGCGGAGGC